RNAcentral lists this small RNA (1980 nucleotides) under Pan troglodytes (chimpanzee). Its description in RNAcentral is "processed transcript". Lineage: Eukaryota; Metazoa; Chordata; Mammalia; Primates; Hominidae. The record is from RNAcentral.
UUUCCCGCGGCUGUUCGCUGUUCCAGUGGGUCGUGGCGCUGGCGGCAGCGGCGGUUAGGGGAUGUAACGGUCGCCCGGCUCCGGCGUGACGAUGGCGGCCGUAGGGUCCGGAGGCUAUGCGCGGAACGAUGCAGGGGAGAAGCUGCCCUCUGUCAUGGCGGGAGUUCCGGCGCGGAGGGGCCAGUCCUCCCCGCCCCCCGCCCCACCAAUCUGCCUACGGCGGCGGACGCGACUCUCGACGGCCUCCGAGGAGACGGUGCAGAACCGGGUGUCACUCGAGAAGGUGCUUGGCAUCACAGCCCAGAACAGCAGUGGCCUAACCUGUGACCCCAGCACAGGCCAUGUGGCCUACCUGGCAGGCUGUGUGGUGGUGAUUUUGGACCCCAAGGAGAACAAGCAGCAGCACAUCUUUAACACCGCCAGGAAGUCUCUCAGUGCUCUGGCCUUCUCCCCUGAUGGGAAGUACAUAGUGACAGGGGAGAAUGGGCAUAGGCCUGCUGUGCGCAUCUGGGAUGUGGAGGAGAAGAAUCAGGUGGCGGAGAUGCUAGGCCACAAGUAUGGUGUGGCGUGUGUGGCCUUCUCACCCAAUAUGAAGCACAUCGUGUCCAUGGGCUACCAACAUGACAUGGUGCUCAACGUCUGGGACUGGAAGAAAGACAUCGUAGUGGCCUCCAACAAGGUAUCUUGUAGAGUCAUUGCCCUCUCCUUCUCAGAGGACAGCAGCUAUUUUGUCACUGUUGGGAACCGGCAUGUGAGGUUCUGGUUCUUGGAAGUCUCCACUGAGACAAAGGUGACGAGCACAGUGCCCCUUGUAGGGCGCUCGGGCAUCCUGGGCGAGCUGCACAACAACAUCUUCUGUGGUGUGGCCUGCGGUCGGGGCCGGAUGGCGGGCAGUACCUUCUGCGUGUCCUACUCGGGCCUCCUCUGCCAGUUCAAUGAGAAGAGGGUGCUGGAGAAGUGGAUCAACCUGAAGGUCUCCCUGUCUUCCUGCCUCUGUGUCAGCCAGGAGCUCAUCUUCUGUGGCUGCACAGAUGGGAUAGUCCGCAUCUUCCAGGCCCAUAGCCUGCACUACCUCGCCAACCUGCCCAAGCCACACUACCUUGGGGUAGACGUGGCACAGGGCCUGGAGCCCAGCUUCCUCUUCCACAGGAAGGCGGAAGCAGUCUACCCAGAUACAGUGGCACUGACCUUCGACCCCAUCCACCAGUGGCUGUCCUGCGUGUAUAAGGACCACAGCAUCUACAUCUGGGAUGUCAAGGACAUCAACGGAGUGGGCAAGGUGUGGUCAGAGCUCUUCCACAGCUCCUACGUUUGGAACGUGGAGGCCCUGUCCUAGGUGCUGAGGACACAGACACAAAAACCCUGCCCUUAACGAGCUCACAUUUGUAUGGGAAAGGAAACCUGGAAACAUCAUCAGUGAAUAACACGCCAAGCAGCAGUAACCCUCUGAAGAAAAAUGAGGCAGGGAAGGGGAAGGGGAAUGCAGGUGGUAUUCUAGAGAGGAGAGGGGUCAGGGAAGGCCUCCCUGAGGACAUAUGAGCAGAGACCUGCAGGAAAUCGGGGAGUUAGACCUGCAACUGCUGGGGAGAACCACAAGCACAGAGGCCCUGCGGCAGGAACAUGCACUCCACAGAGAGCUUUGCUGUGGAGGUCGUUUAUGUAUUUCACUGCUUUUUUCAAAAAGGAGUUGAAGACGGGGCAUGGUGGCUCACACCUGUAAUCCCAACACUUUGGGAAUCUGAGGCGGGAGGAUCACUUGAGCCCAGGAGUUUGAGACCAGCCUGGGCGACACAAGACCCUGUCUCUACAAAUAAUUUUUAAAAAUUAGCCAGGCAUGGUAGCACACACGUGUGGUCCCAGCUACUCAAGACGUGGAGGCAGGAAGAUCACUUGAGCCUGGGAUGUCAAGGCUGCAGUGAGCUGUGAUUGUGCCACCACACUCCCACACUCCAGCCUGGGUAACAGUGAGACCAUGUCUAG